Molecule: transfer RNA, 71 nt
Filed under: Caudoviricetes sp.
Lineage: Duplodnaviria; Heunggongvirae; Uroviricota; Caudoviricetes
Description: tRNA-Thr
Rfam family: tRNA
About the family: Transfer RNA (tRNA) molecules are approximately 80 nucleotides in length. Their secondary structure includes four short double-helical elements and three loops (D, anti-codon, and T loops).
Source: RNAcentral
GCCGUUUUCACUCAAUGGAAGAGCUGCUGAUUUGUAACCAGAGGACGCGGGUUCGAUUCCUGCAAGCGGCA